UAGGGAAUCUUCCGCAAUGGACGCAAGUCUGACGGAGCAACGCCGCGUGAGUGAAGAAGGAUUUCGGUUCGUAAAACUCUGUUGUUAGAGAAGAACAGCGCAUAGAGUAACUGUUAUGCGUGUGACGGUAUCUAACCAGAAAGCCCCGGCUAACUACGUGCCAGCAGCCGCGGUAAUACGUAGGGGGCUAGCGUUGUCCGGAAUCACUGGGCGUAAAGGGUUCGCAGGCGGAAAUGCAAGUCAGGUGUAAAAGGCAGUAGCUUAACUACUGUAAGCAUUUGAAACUGCAUAUCUUGAGAAGAGUAGAGGUAAGUGGAAUUUUUAGUGUAACGGUGAAAUGCGUAGAUAUUAAAAAGAAUACCGGUGGCGAAAGCGACUGACUGGACUCAUUCUGACGCGGAGGAACGAAAGCGUGGGUAGCAAACAGG
Molecule: ribosomal RNA, 428 nt
Filed under: Bacteroidota bacterium
Lineage: Bacteria; Pseudomonadati; Bacteroidota
Description: Bacteroidetes bacterium partial 16S ribosomal RNA
Rfam family: Bacterial small subunit ribosomal RNA
Source: RNAcentral